RNAcentral lists this ribosomal RNA (1501 nucleotides) under uncultured Cytophaga sp. RNAcentral describes it as "bacterial SSU rRNA". It matches the Rfam family "Bacterial small subunit ribosomal RNA". Lineage: Bacteria; Pseudomonadati; Bacteroidota; Cytophagia; Cytophagales; Cytophagaceae. The record is from RNAcentral.
AGAGUUUGAUCCUGGCUCAGGACGAACGCUGGCGGCAGGCUUAACACAUGCAAGUCGUGGGGCAGCAGGUCUCCUUCGGGAGAUGCUGGCGACCGGCGCACGGGUGAGUAACGCGUAAGCAACCUGCCUUUAAGAGGGGGAUAACCACGGGAAACCGUGGCUAAUACCGCAUAACGUCACCGGCCCACAUGGGCUGGUGAUCAAAGGCCUUCGGGCGCUUAGAGAUGGGCUUACGUUCCAUUAGCUAGUUGGUGAGGUAACAGCUCACCAAGGCAACGAUGGAUAGCUGGUCUGAGAGGAUGAUCAGCCACACUGGCACUGAGACACGGGCCAGACUCCUACGGGAGGCAGCAGUGAGGAAUCUUGCGCAAUGGGGGAAACCCUGACGCAGCCAUGCCGCGUGGAGGAAGACACCCCGCAGGGGCGUAAACUCCUUUUGAGUGGGAAGAAGGCGAUGAUUUCGAUCAUCGUUUGACGGUACCACUAGAAUAAGCACCGGCUAACUCCGUGCCAGCAGCCGCGGUAAUACGGAGGGUGCAAGCGUUGUCCGGAAUCACUGGGUGUAAAGGGUGUGCAGGCGGGACAGCAAGUCAGGGGUGAAAUCCUUCAGCUUAACUGAAGAACUGCCUUUGAAACUGCUGUUCUUGAGUCCCAGAGAGGUGGUCGGAAUUCGUGGUGUAGCGGUGAAAUGCGUAGAUAUCACGAGGAACACCAGAAGCGUAGGCGGAUCACUGGACGGGAACUGACGCUCACGCACGAAAGCGUGGGUGAGCAAACAGGAUUAGAUACCCUGGUAGUCCCACGCCGAAAACGAUGAACCGGCUCGAUGCUGUGGCAUUUAUGCUGCAGUGUCUAAGUUAACGCGUUAAGCGUUCCACCUGGGGAGUACGUUCGCAAGAAUGAAACUCAAAGGAAUUGACGGGGGCCCGCACAAGCGGUGGAGCAUGUGGCUUAAUUCGAUGCAACGCGAAGAACCUUACCUGGCCUCGAACGCUACCGGACCGCCCCGGAAACGGGGUUUCCCGCAAGGGCUGGUAGCGAGGUGCUGCAUGGCUGUCGUCAGCUCGUGUCGUGAGAUGUUGGGUUAAGUCCCGCAACGAGCGCAACCCCUAUCGUUAGUUACCAGCGGAUCAUGCCGGGGACUCUAGCGAGACUGCCUGCGUAAGCAGUGAGGAAGGUGGGGAUGACGUCAAGUCAUCAUGGCCCUUACGGCCAGGGCUGCACACGUGCUACAAUGGCCAAUACAAUGGGCAGCCACUCCGCGAGGAGGAGCUAAUCCCAAAAGUUGGUCUCAGUUCGGAUCGGAGUCUGCAACUCGACUCCGUGAAGCCGGAAUCGCUAGUAAUCGCGUAUCAGCAACGGCGCGGUGAAUACGUUCCCGGGCCUUGUACACACCGCCCGUCAAGCCAUGGAAGCUGAGGGCACCCGAAGUCCGUGACCCGCAAGGGAGCGGCCGAAGGUGAACUUAGUGACUGGGGCUAAGUCGUAACAAGGUAGCCGU